GACGAACGCUGGCGGCGUGCUUAACACAUGCAAGUCGAACGGUGAAGCGCUUUCCUUUUUGGUUGGUGUGGAUGAGUGGCGAACGGGUGAGUAACACGUGAGUAACCUGCCCCCUUCUUCUGGAUAACCGCAUGAAAGUGUGGCUAAUACGGGAUAUUCUGCGCCUGCUGCAUGGUGGGUGUGGGAAAGAUUGUGCCUUUGGGUGUUUUCGGUGGGGGAUGGGCUCGCGGCCUAUCAGCUUGUUGGUGGGGUGAUGGCCUACCAAGGCGGUGACGGGUAGCCGGCCUGAGAGGGUGGACGGUCACACUGGGACUGAGACACGGCCCAGACUCCUACGGGAGGCAGCAGUGGGGAAUAUUGCACAAUGGGCGCAAGCCUGAUGCAGCGACGCCGCGUGAGGGAUGGAGGCCUUCGGGGUGUGAACCUCUUUCGCCAGUGAAGCAGGCCUGCUCCUUGUGGGUGGGUUGACGGUAGCUGGAGAAGAAGCGCCGGCUAACUACGUG
RNAcentral lists this ribosomal RNA (503 nucleotides) under uncultured bacterium. Its description in RNAcentral is "partial 16S ribosomal RNA". It matches the Rfam family "Bacterial small subunit ribosomal RNA", at positions 28 to 507 of the family's 1533-position model. The record is from RNAcentral.